Arachis ipaensis is the source of this 1470-nucleotide non-coding RNA. The record is from RefSeq and is a predicted model, not a curated record. Lineage: Eukaryota; Viridiplantae; Streptophyta; Magnoliopsida; Fabales; Fabaceae.
GAAAGACUUGUUUUUACAAGUUUUCCCUUUAGCCUAAUACCCAAACCUCUAAAAUCCAAAUCCCUAACUUAGAGCACUCAGCAGCGCAGCCAUAAUGCUCAAUGCCCACAACACAAGGCUUCUUACUUCCAUCUUUCUCCUCCAUACCUGAGCCUGAGAGAGCUAGUGAGCCUAAGAGCUGCCGCCGUCCUUCAGAGUUUAGUCGCAAGUCGUCCAUUGUCGCCGUGAAGGACGUCAUCGAUCUCCAUCGCAGGCGUUGCAGAGAGCUGGAGAGCGCCGUCGUCUAACCGCAGUCUUCACGCCGUCGUCGAUCUCCGUCUGAGCCGUUCUUUUCCGUCGCUGAGCAGCAGUCUCCGUCGCCGAGCAAACCCUUAGUUCGAGCCCUCUCCUACAACUCAAUGUCUUCUUUUGAGAUAUAUCGACGAAGAUGAGGAGACAGACAAGUUUGCACGUUCUGUUGCUAAUUUGGCUCUGGAAAGAGAGGUCAAAGCUAAUUUCAGUGAAUUUCAGGGCUGGCUUGAAAAACAUGCGUGAUGAGCAAGCUUUGUUGGUUUUUGUAACUAAUUGUUAUUAUCAUGUUGAUUUUGUAAUAGUUUAGCUUGACGAUGUAGUAAAAGAAUUUUACAAUUGUAGUGGAAAAAAAUGGCCACUGGUAAUCUUGCAUAAUAAGCGAAUGAGAAGGCUUAUGGAUAAUCCAUCAAGCAGAAGUGGAUGAAUAAUGGUGCACUCUAUACGACUCCAACUGGAUCCAAUGAUGAUUGAUUCGGUUCGAUUCGGUUGUCCAAAAAGCAGCAAACCGAACAGUUAACAUCAUUAUAAAACUGAAUAGGUCGAUUCGGUUGGUUUUCGGUCAAAAACCGAACCAAACCGAACCGAUUACACCCCUACCUGUGGCAGCUGCAAGUCCGGUUUCAGUUGUCACAGCCGACGGCGAUGGCGCUGGAAGUGGAGUUUUUGGCCAGAUGGCUGCACAUUCAGGCGGUCAAGGAGGUGAGCUGGCACCUUGUUUGGGUUUGGGGUCAUUUGACAGUGGUGGAACUUAUCAUCAUCAGUUGCAGCAACAACCACCACAACAUGGAGGAGUAGGGGAAAAUUAUGUUGGUCUUGCAAAUCAUCAUCACUAUCCUGUUGAGGCGCAAUUUCUGCUCCCAUCACAACAACAACCAUCAGAGAGUGAGGACUGUAAGAGUGUCGGCCCUUCUUGAUGAUUUUUUUGAUUUUCUGCAGCUAAAUGGUUUUUUUUUUGCCAAAGAAGUUUUAAUUCUAAGUAUGUUCUUUUUGUUAUUGUUAUGUAUUUUUGGAUUGAUUAUAGGAUAAUGAUAACGAUGGUAGUUAGUUGUGACUUUAGCUUAUAAUAAUAAACAGGCGAGAGAGCGGGAAGUAGUUGAGGAAGCUGGUGGCUACUGGUCAUGGAAUCGGAAUCAUCAGUAAUGAUAAUAUUAAUGCAUAGAUUACUUUGCUGGUUAGUUG